RNAcentral lists this ribosomal RNA (353 nucleotides) under uncultured bacterium. RNAcentral's name for it is "bacterial SSU rRNA". It matches the Rfam family "Bacterial small subunit ribosomal RNA", at positions 1 to 334 of the family's 1533-position model. The record is from RNAcentral.
CUAGCGACUUCAGAGUUUGAUCCUGGCUCAGGAUGAACGCUGGCGGCGUGCCUAACACAUGCAAGUCGAGCGAGAAUUUACAGAAUGAAGCUUCGGCAGAUUUCUGUAAGGAAAGCGGCGGACGGGUGAGUAACGCGUGAGUAACCUGCCCUUAGGUGGGGGAUAACACAUCGAAAGGUGUGCUAAUACCGCAUAACAUAUAUUUACCGCAUGGUAGAUAUAUCAAAGAUUUAUUGCCUAAGGAUGGACUCGCGUCUGAUUAGAUAGUUGGUGAGGUAACGGCCCACCAAGUCGACGAUCAGUAGCCGAACUGAGAGGUUGAUCGGCCACAUUGGGACUGAGACACGGCCCAG